GACACUUUGGCCGAGUGGUUAAGGCGAUGCCCUGCUAUCAAUAGGUAUCAUAGGCAUUGUGUUCGCACGCGCAGGUUCGAAUCCUGCAGGUGUCG
This 95-nucleotide transfer RNA is filed under the name Trichoderma virens Gv29-8. Its description in RNAcentral is "tRNA-Ser for anticodon GCU". It matches the Rfam family "tRNA". Rfam says of the family: Transfer RNA (tRNA) molecules are approximately 80 nucleotides in length. Their secondary structure includes four short double-helical elements and three loops (D, anti-codon, and T loops). The record is from Rfam by way of RNAcentral. RNAcentral also lists the same sequence under 3 other names. Lineage: Eukaryota; Fungi; Ascomycota; Sordariomycetes; Hypocreales; Hypocreaceae.